AUUGAACGCUGGCGGCAGGCCUAACACAUGCAAGUCGAGCGGAUGAAGGGAGCUUGCUCCUGGAUUCAGCGGCGGACGGGUGAGUAAUGCCUAGGAAUCUGCCUGGUAGUGGGGGAUAACGUCCGGAAACGGGCGCUAAUACCGCAUACGUCCUGAGGGAGAAAGUGGGGGAUCUUCGGACCUCACGCUAUCAGAUGAACCUAGGUCGGAUUAGCUAGUUGGUGGGGUAAAGGCCUACCAAGGCGACGAUCCGUAACUGGUCUGAGAGGAUGAUCAGUCACACUGGAACUGAGACACGGUCCAGACUCCUACGGGAGGCAGCAGUGGGGAAUAUUGGACGAUGGGCGAAAGCCUGAUCCAGCCAUGCCGCGUGUGUGAAGAAGGUCUUCGGAUUGUAAAGCACUUUAAGUUGGGAGGAAGGGCAGUAAGUUAAUACCUUGCUGUUUUGACGUUACCAACAGAAUAAGCACCGGCUAACUUCGUG
RNAcentral lists this ribosomal RNA (484 nucleotides) under uncultured bacterium. RNAcentral describes it as "partial 16S ribosomal RNA". It matches the Rfam family "Bacterial small subunit ribosomal RNA", at positions 30 to 507 of the family's 1533-position model. The record is from RNAcentral.